Molecule: non-coding RNA, 280 nt
Filed under: Drosophila virilis
Lineage: Eukaryota; Metazoa; Arthropoda; Insecta; Diptera; Drosophilidae
Description: Eukaryotic small subunit ribosomal RNA
Rfam family: Eukaryotic small subunit ribosomal RNA
Source: Rfam by way of RNAcentral
AACCACUUUCAUGCUUGGGAUGUGAACUGAAACUGUUCACAUGACUUGGAAAUCCCCAGUUAGGUGUGAUUCAUUAACUGGCAUGGAUAAUGUCCUUGCCUUUGGAACACACGGCCGGUGGAUAUUACGGAUGAAAUAAUUUAGAGAGUUCUCGGAAGGAGAUCAUUGAGACGCUUGGUGUGUGGCGGUUGUUUGGCAAAAGUUGACGGAACUGGAUUAUUUAGAGGAAGUAAAAGUCGUAACAAGGUUUCCCGUACGUGAACCUGCGGAAGGAUCAUUA